RNAcentral lists this ribosomal RNA (253 nucleotides) under uncultured bacterium. RNAcentral's name for it is "partial 16S ribosomal RNA". It matches the Rfam family "Bacterial small subunit ribosomal RNA", at positions 524 to 776 of the family's 1533-position model. The record is from RNAcentral.
UACGAAGGGGGCUAGCGUUGCUCGGAAUCACUGGGCGUAAAGCGCACGUAGGCGGACUCUUAAGUCGGUGGUGAAAUCCUGGAGCUCAACUCCAGAACUGCCUUCGAUACUGGGAGUCUCGAGUCCGGAAGAGGAGAGCGGAAUUCCUGGUGUAGCGGUGAAAUGCGCAGAUAUCAGGAAGAACACCCGUGGCGAAGGCGGCUCUCUGGGACGGUACUGACGCUGAGACGCGAAAGCGUGGGGAGCGAACAGG